AGUGAACGCUGGCGGUAGGCCUAACACAUGCAAGUCGAACGGCAGCACAGUAAGAGCUUGCUCUUACGGGUGGCGAGUGGCGGACGGGUGAGGAAUACAUCGGAAUCUACUUUUUCGUGGGGGAUAACGUAGGGAAACUUACGCUAAUACCGCAUACGACCUACGGGUGAAAGCAGGGGAUCUUCGGACCUUGCGCGAUUGAAUGAGCCGAUGUCGGAUUAGCUAGUUGGCGGGGUAAAGGCCCACCAAGGCGACGAUCCGUAGCUGGUCUGAGAGGAUGAUCAACCACACUGUAACUGAGACACGGUCCAGACUCCUACGGGAGGCAGCAGUGGAGAAUAUUAGACAAUGGCCGCAAGCCUGAUCCAGCCAUACCGCGUGGGUGAAGAAGGCCUUCGGGUUGUAAAGCCCUUUUGUUGGGAAAGAAAAGCAGCAGGUUAAUACCCCGCUGUUCUGACGGUACCCAAAGAAUAAGCACCGGCUAACUUCGUG
This 492-nucleotide ribosomal RNA is filed under the name uncultured bacterium. Its description in RNAcentral is "partial 16S ribosomal RNA". It matches the Rfam family "Bacterial small subunit ribosomal RNA", at positions 29 to 507 of the family's 1533-position model. The record is from RNAcentral.